RNAcentral lists this ribosomal RNA (523 nucleotides) under uncultured fungus. RNAcentral describes it as "SSU rRNA". It matches the Rfam family "Eukaryotic small subunit ribosomal RNA", at positions 569 to 1088 of the family's 1831-position model. The record is from RNAcentral. Lineage: Eukaryota; Fungi.
AGCAGCCGCGGUAAUUCCAGCUCCAAUAGCGUAUAUUAAAGUUGUUGCAGUUAAAAAGCUCGUAGUUGAAUUUCGGAAUCAGUACGUUGGUCGUGCCUUCGGUAUGCACUGGCGUCACUGGUUUCUCCUUUCUGAAGAACCGUGAUGUCAUUAAUUUGGUGUUGCGGGGAAUCAGGACUGUUACUUUGAAAAAAUUAGAGUAGUUUAAAGCAGGCUCACGCUUAGAAUACAUUAGCAUGGAAUAAUGAAAUAGGACGUUUGAUUCUAUUUUAUUGGUUUCUAGGAUCGACGUAAUGAUUAAUAGGGAUAGUUGGGGGCAUUAGUAUUCAAUUGUCUAGAGGUGAAAUUCUUGGAUUUACUGAAGACUAACUACCGCGAAAAGCAUUUGCCAAGGAUGUUUUCAUUAAUCAAGAACGAAAGUUAGGGGAUCGAAGACGAUCAAGAUACCGUCGUAGUCUUAACCAUAAACUAUGCCGACUAGGGAUCGGAUGAUGUUAAUUUUAUAUGACUCAUUCGCGUACCG